This 211-nucleotide ribosomal RNA is filed under the name uncultured bacterium. Its description in RNAcentral is "partial 16S ribosomal RNA". It matches the Rfam family "Bacterial small subunit ribosomal RNA", at positions 1290 to 1500 of the family's 1533-position model. The record is from RNAcentral.
AGUUCGGAUUGCAGGCUGCAACUCGCCUGCAUGAAGUCGGAAUUGCUAGUAAUCGCGGAUCAGCAUGCCGCGGUGAAUACGUUCUCGGGCCUUGUACACACCGCCCGUCACACCAUGGGAGUCGGUAACACCCGAAGUCGGUAGCCUAACCGUAAGGAGGGCGCCGCCGAAGGUGGGAUUGAUGACUGGGGUGAAGUCGUAACAAGGUAAC